Long non-coding RNA from Drosophila pseudoobscura, 842 nucleotides. RefSeq lists it as uncharacterized. The transcript has 3 exons. The record is from RefSeq and is a predicted model, not a curated record. Lineage: Eukaryota; Metazoa; Arthropoda; Insecta; Diptera; Drosophilidae.
CUUGAAUGUACAAUACGUAGGAAAACUGCCUACUCGCAUACUAUGUCGGAUUAAGACUCUCACACGACGAGUGUCCCUCUACCGAUUGAAGGACCAAAUUAGGCAUCAGACAUCACCCAAAUGGAACACAUCCGAAUCGAAGCCUGGAGCUCUGGACAAUUUUCAGUCAACUAGAAACGCCUCCGACCAGGCAACAUCAAAUUCCAAAUUACAAAAUUAAAAAGAUUUUGUGAAAAAAAUAUUGGAGGUCCGGGUGCACCGUGUUGGUAUCGAUAUCGGUAGUAUCCAGAGUGCUAGUCAACAUACAUGACUUUAUAUCCCCCGAUGGGACGCCCUGGAACGGGCCCCAAUGGCACGAACAGGCAGCCCCCACUUGGCACGGAUCGUAGUUAUGCUCACGGCCUACGUUAUGGCCAUGUGGUUCCUGGCCACCUUCACUGAGAAGCGGUUCGAGAUGAGGAGAAACUUGGGAUCUGAGACCUUAACUGCGAUAUGUCGCCACUCCUAAAUGAGAGUUUACACGAGAGAUCUUUCUUGUCAGACCCACCAAUGCGUCUUUCUUUCUCAUGAUAAAACUCCAAAACUUUCUUGCAACCCUCUGAGAAUAGAGCCAUCCACAGCCAUUCAGCGUCCUCAACCAAGAGCCUCUGGAGAUGCGAGGGAUCUCUAUCAGAAGAUAGACCAAUUGUCACCUGCACUGUCGGUCCUUGAGGGUCCAUUGGGGGCAAUCCUGUUCGUUCGCGUGCAAGUUGAUAAGGAUCGACUGCGGUGAAUGGGAUGAGUAACAUGGGAUCGGCGGAUAGAACCCUGACGUUUGGAUUCGACGGCAGACUAGAUCCAAG